RNAcentral lists this non-coding RNA (27 nucleotides) under Rattus norvegicus (Norway rat). Lineage: Eukaryota; Metazoa; Chordata; Mammalia; Rodentia; Muridae. The record is from RNAcentral.
UGCUGUCUCCCCAGAGGCCGUGCCUGA